GCGUGUGUGAAGAAGGCCUUCGGGUUGUAAAGCACUUUCAGUCGUGAGGAAGGUAGUGUAGUUAAUAGCUGCAUUAUUUGACGUUAGCGACAGAAGAAGCACCGGCUAACUCCGUGCCAGCAGCCGCGGUAAUACGGAGGGUGCGAGCGUUAAUCGGAAUUACUGGGCGUAAAGCGCAUGCAGGUGGUUUGUUAAGUCAGAUGUGAAAGCCCGGGGCUCAACCUCGGAAUAGCAUUUGAAACUGGCAGACUAGAGUACUGUAGAGGGGGGUAGAAUUUCAGGUGUAGCGGUGAAAUGCGUAGAGAUCUGAAGGAAUACCGGUGGCGAAGGCGGCCCCCUGGACAGAUACUGACACUCAGAUGCGAAAGCGUGGGGAGCAAACAGGAUUAGAUACCCUGGUAGUCCACGCCGUAAACGAUGUCUACUUGGAGGUUGUGGCCUUGAGCCGUGGCUUUCGGAGCUAACGCGUUAAGUAGACCGCCUGGGGAGUACGGUCGCAAGAUUAAAACUCAAAUGAAUUGACGGGGGCCCGCACAAGCGGUGGAGCAUGUGGUUUAAUUCGAUGCAACGCGAAGAACCUUACCUACUCUUGACAUCCAGAGAACUUUCCAGAGAUGGAUUGGUGCCUUCGGGAACUCUGAGACAGGUGCUGCAUGGCUGUCGUCAGCUCGUGUUGUGAAAUGUUGGGUUAAGUCCCGCAACGAGCGCAACCCUUAUCCUUGUUUUGCCAGCACUUCGGGUG
This 742-nucleotide ribosomal RNA is filed under the name Vibrio harveyi. RNAcentral's name for it is "bacterial SSU rRNA". It matches the Rfam family "Bacterial small subunit ribosomal RNA", at positions 399 to 1133 of the family's 1533-position model. Lineage: Bacteria; Pseudomonadati; Pseudomonadota; Gammaproteobacteria; Vibrionales; Vibrionaceae. The record is from RNAcentral.